This 240-nucleotide ribosomal RNA is filed under the name uncultured bacterium. Its description in RNAcentral is "partial 16S ribosomal RNA". It matches the Rfam family "Bacterial small subunit ribosomal RNA", at positions 94 to 334 of the family's 1533-position model. The record is from RNAcentral.
CGUGGCGGACGGGUGAGUAACGCGUGGGUAACCUGCCUCAUACAGGGGGAUAACGGUUAGAAAUGACUGCUAAUACCGCAUAAGCGCACAGUACCGCAUGGUACGGUGUGAAAAACUCCGGUGGUAUGAGAUGGACCCGCGUCUGAUUAGCUGGUUGGUGGAGGUAACGCCCACCAAGGCGACGAUCAGUAGCCGACCUGAGAGGGUGACCGGCCACAUUGGGACUGAGACACGGCCCAA